UGGGGAAUAUUGCACAAUGGGCGAAAGCCUGAUGCAGCAACGCCGCGUGAGUGAUGAAGGCCUUCGGGUUGUAAAGCUCUGUCUUUUGGGACGAUAAUGACGGUACCAAAGGAGGAAGCCACAGCUAACUACGUGCCAGCAGCCGCGGUAAUACGUAGGUGGCAAGCGUUGUCCGGAUUUACUGGGCGUAAAGGAUGCGUAGGCGGAUUUUUAAGUGAGAUGUGAAAUACCCGGGCUUAACUUGGGUGCUGCAUUUCAAACUGGGAAUCUAGAGUGCGGGAGAGGAGAAUGGAAUUCCUAGUGUAGCGGUGAAAUGCGUAGAGAUUAGGAAGAACACCAGUGGCGAAGGCGAUUCUCUGGACCGUAACUGACGCUGAGGCAUGAAAGCGUGGGUAGCAAACAGGAUUAGAUACCCUGGUAGUCCACGCCGUAAACGAUGAGUACUAGGUGUAGGAGGUAUCGACCCCUUCUGUGCCGCAGUUAACACAAUAAGUACUCCGCCUGGGAAGUACGAUCGCAAGAUUAAAACUUAAAUGAAUUGACGGGGUCAUAGC
This 554-nucleotide ribosomal RNA is filed under the name uncultured bacterium. Its description in RNAcentral is "partial 16S ribosomal RNA". It matches the Rfam family "Bacterial small subunit ribosomal RNA", at positions 355 to 925 of the family's 1533-position model. The record is from RNAcentral.